Molecule: non-coding RNA, 136 nt
Organism: Hordeum vulgare subsp. vulgare (domesticated barley)
Lineage: Eukaryota; Viridiplantae; Streptophyta; Magnoliopsida; Poales; Poaceae
Source: Rfam
CUUAUACUCCUUCCGUCUCAAAAUUCUUGUCUUAAAUUUGUAUAUAUAUGAAUGUAUCUAGCCACGUUUUAGUAUUUACAUACAUCCAUUUCUAGACAAAUUUAAAACAAGAAUUUUAGGACGGAGGGAAUAUUUA